GCAUUAAUGGGGUAGUGGUAACCUGGGUCGUUGCCAUUCUUCGAUAAUGUUCGACCCGCCGGGGGUUCGAUUCCCCCUUAAUGCA
This is a non-coding RNA of Termitomyces sp. T32_za158, 85 nucleotides long. NCBI's taxonomy places the organism in Eukaryota, Fungi, Basidiomycota, Agaricomycetes, Agaricales, Lyophyllaceae. The record is from the annotation of a GenBank genome assembly.